RNAcentral lists this ribosomal RNA (762 nucleotides) under Triticum aestivum (bread wheat). RNAcentral describes it as "partial small subunit ribosomal RNA". The record is from RNAcentral. Lineage: Eukaryota; Viridiplantae; Streptophyta; Magnoliopsida; Poales; Poaceae.
AUGCGCUUCGUCCACAUUGACAAUGACUUCCACAUUGGCUGCAGGCGAGGGCAGCAGCAGCAACAGCAACAGCGCCAAAAAAUCACCACUUGGACUUUGAACAUGACAUGCUGUGUACCUCAUCGGCGUCUUCCCGAGUUCCCGAUCAUCAGCGCCGAUGGCCCGGAUGUUCUGUGUUACCUGUUGCGGAAGGAGGAGUUUCAUGGUGAGGCCUCCAUGAUCGUGGUUGACAUGAACCAUGCUCACCUGCGGUCGUCUACUCCAUAUAUCAAUCGACAGUCUGCGGAUGGUUGGCCGGUUGAUGGAGCCCAAGAACUACAGAUUGUAGGCCGAGGAGGCAGAGUAGGUAUUGGAAGUGGAUGCUUUCCAACAUAUUGUAUCAAGCUCCUCAGAGAGGUUGACAAGUUGAAUUUGUUGCCAAAGGGACCAGAAACAGUGCAUAUCUUCAGUUGUUGUCAAUCGACGAAGCCUCUCAUUCAGUUGCCAUUGGAUAGUGCAGUUUCUGCCGAGGCGUUCUUCCUCCAUGCCACGUUGAACAAGGCCGUGUCCACGGGAGAGCAAGGCAAUUUGGUCCCAGUUCAAGGCCGCGAGGGGGAGAUCCGGGAGUUCGAGAGCCAUCACAGCCUAAGGGAGCGGCUGAACAAUUCAAGGUUCUUGAUACCUAAGUCCCCAAGUCUUUUUGGUGAACACACUUGCUUCCAAUUCACUGCACAAUGGAUACCCGUGGCUUCUUCCUCACCACGCCAAAGAAAACCUCUCUAG